This 458-nucleotide ribosomal RNA is filed under the name uncultured Sphingobacteriales bacterium. RNAcentral's name for it is "bacterial SSU rRNA". It matches the Rfam family "Bacterial small subunit ribosomal RNA", at positions 923 to 1382 of the family's 1533-position model. The record is from RNAcentral. Lineage: Bacteria; Pseudomonadati; Bacteroidota; Sphingobacteriia; Sphingobacteriales.
GCACAAGCGGUGGAGCAUGUGGUUUAAUUCGAUGAUACGCGAGGAACCUUACCUGGGCUCAAAUGUAUGUUGACGUAUUCUGAAAGGGAUACUUCUUCGGACAAUAUACAAGGUGCUGCAUGGUUGUCGUCAGCUCGUGCCGUGAGGUGUCGGGUUAAGUCCCAUAACGAGCGCAACCCCUAUCAUUAGUUGCCAUCAGGUCAAGCUGGGGACUCUAAUGAAACUGCCUACGCAAGUAGUGAGGAAGGUGGGGAUGACGUCAAAUCAGCACGGCCCUUACGUCCUGGGCUACACACGUGCUACAAUGGCCGGUACAGAGCGCAGCGAGGCCGCGAGGCGGAGCGAAUCGCUUAAAGCCGGUCCCAGUACGGAUUGGAGUCUGCAACCCGACUCCAUGAAGUUGGAUUCGCUAGUAAUCGCGCAUCAGCCAUGGCGCGGUGAAUACGUUCCCGGGCCUU